AACGAACGCUGGCGGCAUGCCUAACACAUGCAAGUCGAACGAGCCCUUCGGGUCCUUUGUCGCCCGGCUGCGUCACCCGUCGGAACCUGCCCUUAUGUUCGGCCUAACUCUCCGAAAGGGGUGCUAAUACCGGAUAAUGUCUUCGGACCAAUGAUUUAUCGCCUUUGGAUGGUCCCUCGUUGGAUUAGCUAGUUGGUAGGCUAAUAGCCUACCACGGCGACGAUGCAUAGAUGGUAUGAGAGGAUGAUCAGCAACACUGAGAGUAGGACACGGCCCAGAAUCCUACGGGAGGCAGGAGUGGGGGAUAGUGGAAAAUGGGGGGAGGGCUGAAGGAGCAAGGCCGGGAAAGUGAUGAAGGCCGUAGAGUUGUAAAGCGCUUUUACCCGGGAUGAUAAUGACGGUACCGGGAGAAUAAGCUCCGGCUAACUACGUG
This 433-nucleotide ribosomal RNA is filed under the name uncultured bacterium. RNAcentral describes it as "partial 16S ribosomal RNA". It matches the Rfam family "Bacterial small subunit ribosomal RNA", at positions 29 to 507 of the family's 1533-position model. The record is from RNAcentral.